AGGAUAGAGGCGCGAUUUGCUAUCAGUAGCUUUUGAAUGUUAAAUCCGGCGGGAUGAGGUCGAGGGCGAAAGGAGCGGUCGCCGAAGACGGCGGUCGGCGGACGGUCGGUCUGGUAAAACGGAAUAAUAUCCGAUUUACUGUCGCUUAGGCGGAGAGCUAUCG
This 163-nucleotide non-coding RNA is filed under the name human gut metagenome. Its description in RNAcentral is "Lysine riboswitch". It matches the Rfam family "Lysine riboswitch aptamer". From Rfam's summary of the family: Riboswitches are metabolite binding domains within certain messenger RNAs that serve as precision sensors for their corresponding targets. Allosteric rearrangement of mRNA structure is mediated by ligand binding, and this results in modulation of gene expression. This family includes riboswitches that sense lysine in a number of genes involved in lysine metabolism, including lysC. The record is from RNAcentral.